UGGGGAAUUGUUCACAAUGGGCGCAAGCCUGAUGACGCAACGCCGCGUGGGGGAUGAAGGUCUUCGGAUCGUAAACCCCUGUCGAAUGGGACGAAAGACCCGGGAGCUAAUCAUCCUGGGAGUGACGGUACCGUUAAAGGAAGCCACGGCUAACUCUGUGCCAGCAGCCGCGGUAAUACAGAGGUGGCAAGCGUUGUUCGGAAUUACUGGGCGUAAAGGGCGCGUAGGCGGCCAUCUAAGUCAGACGUGAAAUCCCCCGGCUUAACCUGGGAACUGCGUCUGAUACUGGACGGCUCGAGUUUGGGAGAGGGAUGUAGAAUUCCAGGUGUAACGGUGAAAUGCGUAGAUAUCUGGAGGAAUACCGGUGGCGAAGGCGGCAUCCUGGACCAACACUGACGCUGAGGCGCGAAAGCUAGGGGAGCAAACGGG
This 429-nucleotide ribosomal RNA is filed under the name Bacillota bacterium. RNAcentral's name for it is "Firmicutes bacterium partial 16S ribosomal RNA". It matches the Rfam family "Bacterial small subunit ribosomal RNA", at positions 355 to 776 of the family's 1533-position model. The record is from RNAcentral. Lineage: Bacteria; Bacillati; Bacillota.